RNAcentral lists this ribosomal RNA (592 nucleotides) under uncultured bacterium. RNAcentral describes it as "bacterial SSU rRNA". It matches the Rfam family "Bacterial small subunit ribosomal RNA", at positions 334 to 917 of the family's 1533-position model. The record is from RNAcentral.
UACUCCUACGGGAGGCAGCAGUGGGGAAUCUUCCGCAAUGGACGAAAGUCUGACGGAGCAACGCCGCGUGAGUGAUGACGGCCUUCGGGUUGUAAAGCUCUGUUAAUCGGGACGAAUGGUUCUUGUGCGAAUAGUGCGAGGAUUUGACGGUACCGGAAUAGAAAGCCACGGCUAACUACGUGCCAGCAGCCGCGGUAAUACGUAGGUGGCAAGCGUUGUCCGGAAUUAUUGGGCGUAAAGCGCGCGCAGGCGGAUUGGUCAGUCUGUCUUAAAAGUUCGGGGCUUAACCCCGUGAUGGGAUGGAAACUGCCAAUCUAGAGUAUCGGAGAGGAAAGUGGAAUUCCUAGUGUAGCGGUGAAAUGCGUAGAUAUUAGGAAGAACACCAGUGGCGAAGGCGACUUUCUGGACGAAAACUGACGCUGAGGCGCGAAAGCCAGGGGAGCGAACGGGAUUAGAUACCCCGGUAGUCCUGGCCGUAAACGAUGGGUACUAGGUGUAGGAGGUAUCGACCCCUUCUGUGCCGGAGUUAACGCAAUAAGUACCCCGCCUGGGGAGUACGACCGCAAGGUUGAAACUCAAAGGAAUUGACGGA